AAACUAACAAGGAUUCCCCUAGUAGCGGCGAGCGAAGCGGGAAGAGCUCAAAUUUAUAAUCUGGCGCUUUCGGCGUCCGAGUUGUAAUCUCUAGAAGUGUUUUCCGCGUUGGACCGCACAUAAGUCUGUUGGAAUACAGCGGCACAGUGGUGAGACCCCCGUUCACGGUGCGGAUGCCCAAUGCUUUGUGAUACACUUUCGAAGAGUCGAGUUGUUUGGGAAUGCAGCUCAAAUUGGGUGGUAAAUUCCAUCUAAAGCUAAAUAUUGGCGAGAGACCGAUAGCGAACAAGUACCGUGAGGGAAAGAUGAAAAGCACUUUGGAAAGAGAGUUAACAGUACGUGAAAUUGUUGGAAGGGAAACGCUUGAAGUCAGACUUGCUAUUCGGGGCUUGCUCCGAGUUGCAGGCCAGCAUCAGUUUUUCGGGGCGGAAAAUCACGGAUUGAAGGUAGCAGUUU
RNAcentral lists this ribosomal RNA (456 nucleotides) under Rhodosporidiobolus ruineniae. RNAcentral's name for it is "LSU rRNA". It matches the Rfam family "Eukaryotic large subunit ribosomal RNA", at positions 62 to 505 of the family's 3401-position model. The record is from RNAcentral. Lineage: Eukaryota; Fungi; Basidiomycota; Microbotryomycetes; Sporidiobolales; Sporidiobolaceae.